UGGUUAAUAGUUUUUGGUGUAUUGUUUUGUGUUACUGUUCAGAAGGAUCGAGCUCAACAAAAAUCUAAAUAUCAACCAUGAUAAGAGCUAUUGGUGGAAACGACGAUGGUAAUUGUAUCAGAUGCGCCCUCAGAGCUACUACUUAUGAAGGAUGAGGUAGCUAACUGCUAUUCGUGGUCUGGCCAGAAAAAUACGAAGAAAGUUUUUUUAUAAAAAAAAAUAUGCGAUCUCUUGAUAGGUACAAUAGUUAAAACUGACCCACUAUUUACCGUUAAAAAGUGUCAAAUGCAUGUUCAAAAAUGGCUGCAACAUGCGUCUGAUCGACUAGAAAAAAAAAAAAACAAAUAGUCUCAGGAUGAGUAAUGGAAGAAUCGAUAGCUUAGAUGUAUAGAUUCAUGGCAUUUUUCAUAUUCAUAAACUUUUUUGAGCAGACAUUAGUAUGUAAUUUAAACAUCUUAAAAAAAAACUUUUAUUUUUUACGUCACAUUUAUUUAUUAUUUAUUGUGGCAUGUUAACAGAUUUUAAUUGUAAAAGUUUUGUAUACGAUUCAUGUCCUGCGCUUUCACGUAUAAACAUUUACUUUUUGCGAAAUACAAUGUAGAAAGAUGCAUAAAAUGAAGUUCUUCUGGA
This is a long non-coding RNA of Copidosoma floridanum, 630 nucleotides long. Lineage: Eukaryota; Metazoa; Arthropoda; Insecta; Hymenoptera; Encyrtidae. The record is from RefSeq and is a predicted model, not a curated record.